Myotis davidii is the source of this 1224-nucleotide long non-coding RNA. RefSeq lists it as uncharacterized. The record is from RefSeq and is a predicted model, not a curated record. NCBI's taxonomy places the organism in Eukaryota, Metazoa, Chordata, Mammalia, Chiroptera, Vespertilionidae. The transcript is spliced from 5 exons.
UGUGACCUGCAUUUGUGGCUCACAUUUUGAUUUUUGGGGAGUGCUGGCCCAAAUGACCUCCAAAGUGGCGAUACCAAACUCACCCCAACAGCGAUGCUUCUGAACUCCCUGAGAUUUUUGCUAACAUGUGAUGCACUGGAGAGAAUGCCUGCCGCCAAGAAACUGAGAAGAGCAACCGAUUCAAGAGUGCAAGUGAUUUGAAAAUAACAGUCUGAGCCACACUGUAAACUGGAGGCAGCCCGUUGUUCUCUGACAUGCAGAGGACACAGAGACGCUCCUUUGGAACUGAGUGUGCUGAUCCAGCACUUCCCUUGGCUCCCCACCAAGAGCGUAAACAUCUGUGCUUUAAAAAUCUGAACCCAGACUUAAAAAAAACCACCCCACAACUUUAAAUACAUUCUACAAUGCUUUACAGAAGCAAACAAAAACAACAAAGCCAUAGGAUCACAAUGAUUAAAAAGCUGGUUUUUGUUUAAAACACCUAGCAUGGACUGGACACACAAAUGUUCCUAACCUGCCAACUGAUUUCCCCAAAUUAUAUCAGGUGCGUACUGUAAUAUCUGCUUCAUGAGAAGACCAGGUGCUUCCACGGCGACUCCUGAAAGCCCUGCCAACAGGAGAGAGGCCAGCUGACACUGGGGGCAGGUCGGGCUGGGGCAGAGAACUGGAGAGCGUCUGGCCCAUGGACAUGCCCUGCAGAGCUGAGCAGAGAACUGAGAUGGAAGAAAACACCCAGGAUUAUGCUGUGGGAACAAAGGAGAGCUUCUAACCCACAAAUAUGUCCCUAUCGAUCUGCACAGGCUCUGACUUCACGCAGAGCUUCACUUUACAGAAGAAAUAGAACCUGAAGUCAGUGUAUGUGACAUAUUGUGAAAAAUCCUCUAUUAUAAAAAGGCCAUGGUCACGCCCUCACACCAUAAUGACUGGUCACCAGGAGGCUACACGCGUCGCAAGGCACAUAUGAUUAAAAACAGAAAAAUUAUUACUGAGCGGGGAACCCAAUAAAAAGCCCUAUUAUUGGAAAGAAAAGGAGGAUUCUGCAUUCACUUCUAGUUAAAGCUAGAACGUGGAAGAUGAAGGCGGUGACCAUCAGCUAGAGAGAGGCUGGCUGCUGACGCUGGGAACUCAGGUGGGUCCGACCAUGUUCCUCACGUAGCUGGAGCUCCGGCCGGAAGUGCCCUGUGUCUGAGCCACUGCUGAAGAUGGUGCUUUGCCGCAGGACCG